AGGGCAACACGGGAGUGCGCUGCAGCCGGCCGCCUAAAUCACUCCUCCCCAAUGCCCGCGCUUUGCGGGCCUCUCCUGACGUCCUGGCUGGGACCACAGGAAACGGGACGGCUGCUUCUCCUUGGUUCAGGGUGGACACGGCCAGGACCCACUUGGCCCACCAGAGCAGGAGGCGGGUGCGGGGCCCUGGCCACCGCCGGCCCUGUGCUGGGAGCCGCAGAGUGAAUCCGGAACAGCCCGUGGGUGAGCGAGGACACCACUCCCCAGUGCCCAGAUUAAAACGAAGGCCCCCAGCCUGUGGUGCCUCCCGCUCCCACCUCUGCUCUGGAGGUGGUGGCAACAUGCACCCGAGGGUGGUGAGGUGACCACGAGUCUACCCCCGAGAAGUCUCAGAACGGAGCCAGUGCCAGUCAGCUCUCAGGCAUGGGAGUGACGACUAUUUUACACUUGGAAAGAGAGAAAAGGAACCAUGCUUCUAUGCCAGCUUCCAUGGAGAGCGAGAAUGAAUUCUACAGCCUAACAGAAUAGGCAUUUGGGGCUAAAGCAAAGCUCGUCAAAGCUGCAAGCAGUUGGGGGGAAGGGACCGAGCACUGUUCAGGGGUUGAUGGUGCCUUCGUUCGUUCUGGAAAGUCCACCUGAGUGAGCAAGUGGCCGUCAGCCGGAAGCAGACACCGGAGAGGGAGAAGCAGAGAGCUGGGCC
Molecule: long non-coding RNA, 700 nt
Organism: Phyllostomus hastatus (greater spear-nosed bat)
Lineage: Eukaryota; Metazoa; Chordata; Mammalia; Chiroptera; Phyllostomidae
Exons: 3
Source: RefSeq, a predicted model, not a curated record